Non-coding RNA from Styela clava, 2731 nucleotides. The record is from RefSeq and is a predicted model, not a curated record. Lineage: Eukaryota; Metazoa; Chordata; Ascidiacea; Stolidobranchia; Styelidae.
UGGGUCCGGGAAGAAUUCAAAAAAUGCUUAAAUGUCCGGAAUCCGGAAUUUUACUGCAUCUGCAAUCGUACUGUACACACUGCUAAUAAAGAACAUUGUUGUUUUGUACCGUGCGCAUAUUUUUUACUACGAGGUCAUGAACUGUCCGGAAUUUUGCUUUUUCAAAUAUGGUGACCCUACAAUAGGUAUGAUACAGAUUGGGUUAACACGACUUGAUUGACAUAAUUUUUGAAUAUACAGAGUGUCCAAAACAUUUCUGUUUAUUAAUAGUUCUUAUUGUGCUUGUAGUUUUCAUUUAUCAAACAAUGAAAUUUAGUUUAACUUACAAUUGUUAUUACUAUGAAUUCGGGCAAAAUUUUUGGACACCCUGUAUACUUAGAUGCCUCAACACGGAAGCAAUUGUCUCUCCUCUUAGCUAUGGUACUGUCAAGAGAAAACUGGAAUUUACUUUUUGUAAUUUUUUUGAUAUUGUGUUAAAAUAAAAACAGCGUCCACAGCUCUUAAUGAGGCUUGAUCUAUUAUUCUUUACAUUCUAUUUACCAGAUAGAGAUUUAACCACGCUUAUCGAAGGCCGACAUUUUAAAGUAGUUUGAAUAACUAUGGUUCACUAGAUUUCAAUAUAUGCUAAUUGAGACGCUUCAUUCCUACUAAAACUUCAUCCUUGAAGGCUUCUGAUCUGGGAUGGCCCAAACUGAUUAAUGUACACUUCUGAAUACAUCCUGAAAUAUUACUUUUUGACGAGGAAUGUCAAAUAUUACUUUUGAAUAAAGAAUGUUAAAUAUGUAUCCAGAAUGGGUCAAUUUUAACAGAGAACAUGCUUCAACCAUUGUAUAUAUUGUCAAUUUGAUAAUGUAUAAAAGUUGAGAUAAACAUCAUUUCGUACUCCCAUAGUGUUUCGGGGACUGUCUGUGGUAACCAAGUUAAUAUACCCCCUGCCCAUAGGUUUUGGUUUAGACGAACAAAAUUAUUUACCUCGAUGUUGGUACACAUACUUGUGGAGCGCCCAUCAGUUUGAUUGUUUUUCUAUCUUUACAUAGCAUGUUGAAUGAAGAUUACUAUUGGCCCAAAUGACUAUAUUUAGAACAAAAUCUAAAUUAAGUACUAAUUAUUUUUAACGUGUUUUUUUUUAAAAGAGCCACCGCUAAUGUGGCAAUCGCAAUCUGCAGUACUUAAAAUAUGGCUGGUGUUUUUUUCUCAAAUAUGACAUUUUUUCAUUAGUGGCUUUCUACAAAAUAUCCUAGAACAGUGGUUCCCAAAUCGCGUGGCCAAUCACAGCGUAACAAUUUAAUAUGGGCCACCGAACUUGAGUGAAAAAGUAUAACACUUUAUGUUUUUACCUUUUUGCGUUCUAGAUACCACCAACUAUUACGUCUUUAUCACAAUUUAAGCAUGUGUAUAUUGGUAACAAUUCAAUCGCUCCACUCUCCUGGUCUACGAAUAUCAAUCAACUUUGGGAACUACUUUUCUAGAAUAUAAAAUAAUUUGGAAUGUAUUCAAAUAUUCAAUCUGUUUUGGACAUCACUGAUUCAGCUGGCUCACUUUAUCCCAAGUUAUUCAUGCUUAUUGAACUAUCAUACUCCUUCAUUUAGUAGCUGCCUAUACAUUAUACUGAAGUUCUUUGAUGAGUUGGUCGAAUUUAUGUCACCUGAUUUCACUUUUUUCUUUAAAUCAUGCAUGUUCACAGCAUUUAUUGAUUAAUAAAAUGCAAAUAAAUAUUUAUUGGAAUAUAUAAUGUCUUUUCAUUUGUAAGUUGCUGAAAAGUUUUAAAAUCGUGCUAUAGUAAAAUUAAGUGUCAAGGGCGAUGGAAUAGAAACUAAACUUGUAUUACCAAGAUACUAAGCAAUUAUUUUAGAAAGCAGGGGUUCUGAGUUUAUUGCAGGAAAAAAUUUUUUUUUUGUAUUUUCUCCUCAAAAACAAGCGUUUCACUUGACAUAGUGAAUAUGAAGUCUCCUAAUACGAACCAAUAUCUGACAGAAAAUUUUAGAUUGUUUCAGCAUGCGAUAAUGCAAGGUUGUCGAACCUAAAGGGUGAAUACCGCGGGUACCCAUAUGCUAUUGUUUUAGAUAGACUGUAAAAUCAGGGGUUCUAAGUUAACUAUGGGAAAACACUUUUUGUGUUUCUAUUUUGCAAGAAUGUCCAAACAUAAUAUCAUGCUUCUCAAAGAUAUCUACCAACAGCGAAUGAUAGAUAGGUAUAAUAUCCGAUUCUCAAAAUGACACAUAAUUUCCCCCUUGGGUACUUUAAAUAAUUAAUUAAUUUUUCAAGCAAGAAAGUGCACAAUCAAAUGUUUUCAUAUUUCACUUGCAGCACAUGGCAAAACAUAGUUGAAGCGAUAAUUGUAUUUUUGGAAUUUGGUGGGUAAUAAGAAAUAAAAUAUCGGAAUCCUCUUCAAAAACGUAACAUUUUGAAAUAGUAUGGCUCUAUGGGAGGAAUGCCUGAGCUCUAACGGAGAUAAUAAUAUACAAAUUUAAAAAAUAAUAAAAACGUUCACAUCCUGGGGGAGUCAUACACUUUACUUUUAUUAGUCCAUGUGUUUAAAGAAUGGUUCCUGUACAUUCCACAGACUCCUAAAUGUUGAGAAAAUCUUUGUGAUUUUCCGUGAAAAGUUGUUGGUGCUGAUUCAUGUGUUGCGGGGAGAAUUCCGUAAAUACUUGAAGAGGUUUUGUACAAAGGAUGUUGUGGUUGAUAACUUCCAUCCCAAGCCAUUUCAUCUCUUUCUACUUCCACUCGA